This 497-nucleotide ribosomal RNA is filed under the name uncultured bacterium. RNAcentral's name for it is "partial 16S ribosomal RNA". It matches the Rfam family "Bacterial small subunit ribosomal RNA", at positions 28 to 507 of the family's 1533-position model. The record is from RNAcentral.
GAGGAAGGCUGGCGGCGUGCCUAAUACAUGCAAGUCGAGCGAACAGACGAGGAGCUUGCUCCUCUGACGUUAGCGGCGGACGGGUGAGUAACACGUGGAUAACCUACCUAUAAGACUGGGAUAACUUCGGGAAACCGGAGCUAAUACCGGAUAAUAUAUUGAACCGCAUGGUUCAAUAGUGAAAGACGGUUUUGCUGUCACUUAUAGAUGGAUCCGCGCCGCAUUAGCUAGUUGGUAAGGUAACGGCUUACCAAGGCAACGAUGCGUAGCCGACCUGAGAGGGUGAUCGGCCACACUGGAACUGAGACACGGUCCAGACUCCUACGGGAGGCAGCAGUAGGGAAUCUUCCGCAAUGGGCGAAAGCCUGACGGAGCAACGCCGCGUGAGUGAUGAAGGUCUUCGGAUCGUAAAACUCUGUUAUUAGGGAAGAACAAAUGUGUAAGUAACUAUGCACGUCUUGACGGUACCUAAUCAGAAAGCCACGGCUAACUACGUG